Molecule: long non-coding RNA, 931 nt
Organism: Lolium rigidum
Lineage: Eukaryota; Viridiplantae; Streptophyta; Magnoliopsida; Poales; Poaceae
Exons: 2
Source: RefSeq, a predicted model, not a curated record
CGCUCCACCCAUGUGCCAUGAUGCAGCAACCUGCUCCGCCCACGGCGCUGCCUGCCCGCUCCCCCACGCCGCCGCCUUCUCCUCACACUCCAUGCCAUACGCCGCCACCUGGAUCCCCAGCGCCGCCUCAGUCAAUAUCUGGCGACUGGCGUCUCCCUAAAGCGCUGGCGGCGCCCCAAGAUCUGUGAGCGGCGGGGAGGACAAGAACAUCGUCCUUGGCUUGGGUGGAUGCGGCGGCGACGGCGAGGUGGUGGAUGUGGGGAGCGGCCUGGAUUUCUCGGGCGUCGGCGCUGUGUUCCCAGCGGACUGUGACGAGCUUCAAUUUUACUGACCAUGGAACGCUCCGUAGUUACAAAAAGUACAAUCUCAUUAUAGACUAUGUUCUGAUUGACACAUGUAACUACAGCACCAGGUUACAAGCUUUGACCGCAAUCACUAGUCUUGAAGAUUGAUAUUCUUCAAUUCUACUCCAAAACUGCAAGGCGUAAUGAUUCCGGGGACGCGGCGUGGAUCGAUUCUGGCGAUGUGCGUGGAACGAUUGACGAGCUAGGCGACGCCCACGGCGUGAAUGGAUUCCAGCGACACACGUGGAUCGAUUAGCGAGCAGGACCGGCCAUGCGCGGAGGAGGAGCUGGCCGGUGGAGGAGGAUCGAUUCCGGUGGGAGCUGGCCGGUGGACGGCGGAGGGAUGACGCUGGUGCGAACGCGAGAUUCCAGUUUUAGAUAGGGUUAUUGAUGUCUUUCACAGUGUUUUCACCUGGUCGGAACAUUUGUUUAACGUUUUACAAGUAUGUGUAUUACAAAGUAUUACUAAUCACACUCCAAUCUUGCAGUUUUAAAUUUGUCCCCGGUUUCAAUAUAAUUGCUAAAUUAUUUCAGCAUGUAAUGACACUCCAAUUUGGAAAUUUUCAGAUUAUUUCAGACUUCUCCAA